UACGUAGGGCGCAAGCGUUAUCCGGAAUUAUUGGCGUAAAGAGCUCGUAGGCGGUUUGUCGCGUCUGCCGUGAAAGUCCGGGCUCAACUCCGAUCUGCGGUGGGUACGGGCAGACUAGAGUGAUUGUAGGGAGACUGGAAUUCCUGGUGUAGCGGUGAAAUGCGCAGAUAUCAGGAGGAACACCGAUGGCGAAGGCAGGUCUCUGGGCAUUAACUGACGCUGAGGAGCGAAAGCAUGGGGAGCGAACAGG
RNAcentral lists this ribosomal RNA (250 nucleotides) under uncultured bacterium. Its description in RNAcentral is "partial 16S ribosomal RNA". It matches the Rfam family "Bacterial small subunit ribosomal RNA", at positions 524 to 776 of the family's 1533-position model. The record is from RNAcentral.